RNAcentral lists this ribosomal RNA (441 nucleotides) under uncultured bacterium. Its description in RNAcentral is "bacterial SSU rRNA". It matches the Rfam family "Bacterial small subunit ribosomal RNA", at positions 360 to 793 of the family's 1533-position model. The record is from RNAcentral.
AAUAUUGCACAAUGGGCGCUAAGCCUGAUGCAGCCAUGCCGCGUGUAUGAAGAAGGCCUUCGGGUUGUAAAGUACUUUCAGCAGUGAGGAAGGUGGGUAUGUUAAUAGCAUACUCAUUUGACGUUAGCUGCAGAAGAAGCACCGGCUAACUCCGUGCCAGCAGCCGCGGUAAUACGGAGGGUGCGAGCGUUAAUCGGAAUUACUGGGCGUAAAGCGCAUGCAGGUGGUUUGUUAAGUCAGAUGUGAAAGCCCGGGGCUCAACCUCGGAAUUGCAUUUGAAACUGGCAAACUAGAGUACUGUAGAGGGGGUAGAAUUUCAGGUGUAGCGGUGAAAUGCGUAGAGAUCUGAAGGAAUACCGGUGGCGAAGGCGGCCCCCUGGACAGAUACUGACACUCAGAUGCGAAAGCGUGGGGAGCAAACAGGAUUAGAUACCCUGGUAG